Molecule: ribosomal RNA, 254 nt
Filed under: uncultured bacterium
Lineage: Bacteria
Description: partial 16S ribosomal RNA
Rfam family: Bacterial small subunit ribosomal RNA
Source: RNAcentral
CUUUUCCGCUGACGAGUGGCGCACGGGUGCGCAACGCGUAUAGAACCUACCCUGUACAGGGGGAUAGCCCGGAGAAAUCCGGAUUAAUACCCCGUGGUAAUUAGAAUCGGCAUCGGUUUUAAUUUAAAGUUUCGGCGGUACAGGAUGGCUAUGCGUCCUAUUAGUUAGAUGGUGAGGUAACGGCUCACCAUGGCAUCGAUAGGUAGGGGCCCUGAGAGGGGGACCCCCCACACUGGUACUGAGACACGGACCAG